CAUCAGAGCAGUGGCUGAUACAACCUCCUUAGUAUCUGUUGCCUGAAUACACAGGAAGAAGUUCUAGUGUCAAGGGAAUUCUGGGAUUGAAUCAAACUUACAAACCAUGAAAUGAAAUAACCCAAAACUUGGAUUUAGCUAGGUUACACUGCAGGCCUGUAACUAGGACUUCUCAGAAGUAGUGAAUACUUUGGACAAGGAAUGCAAAUCUC
This is a long non-coding RNA of Ostrea edulis (European flat oyster), 212 nucleotides long. RefSeq lists it as uncharacterized. The record is from RefSeq and is a predicted model, not a curated record. NCBI's taxonomy places the organism in Eukaryota, Metazoa, Mollusca, Bivalvia, Ostreida, Ostreidae. The transcript has 2 exons.